Molecule: long non-coding RNA, 482 nt
Filed under: Rattus norvegicus (Norway rat)
Lineage: Eukaryota; Metazoa; Chordata; Mammalia; Rodentia; Muridae
Description: long non-coding RNA NONRATT033094
Source: RNAcentral
GAAGAAUAAAAAAAAAUACAUUUUUUUCCUAAGAAAUUUAGCACAACGAGGAGCUGGGUCCACAGUUUAAAAACUUGCGGACGUGUUUAAUAUUUACAUCCUCUGACACAGUAAGCGCCCGGAGUUAAUUGAGAGAAAUAAUUAACAGGUGUUUCCAGGCCACUGAGUUUUCAAGAUCAGUGCAUUUAAAGGACUGAAGAGAGUUCCAAACUACGAAGAACUCACGACAGAGUGGAUCAGAGCUGUGCCUCCAGCACCAGUAUCUUGGGUGAGAAGCUCUCAACCACCCAUGACCUCAGCUACAGAAUUGCUUUCAAGGGGGGAAGCUUCCUGUAACCAAGCCUGAGAUAGCCUAGAUUUCUGAAUGACAUCAUCAAGCAAGCAAAGAGUGACAGUCUUUUCCUGUUCCACCUAGUGAACUAAGAGGCCCAACCAACUGUGCCAUCAUGCAUGGUUUGCAAAAGAAAACACCGAAAGCAGCU